GACGAACGCUGGCGGCGUGCUUAACACAUGCAAGUCGAACGAAGAGCGAUGAAGCUUGCUUCUAUCAAUCUUAGUGGCGAACGGGUGAGUAACGCGUAAUCAACCUGCCCUUCAGAGGGGGACAACAGUUGGAAACGACUGCUAAUACCGCAUACGAUCUAAUCUCGGCAUCGAGGAUAGAUGAAAGGUGGCCUCUACAUGUAAGCUAUCACUGAAGGAGGGGAUUGCGUCUGAUUAGCUAGUUGGAGGGGUAACGGCCCACCAAGGCGAUGAUCAGUAGCCGGUCUGAGAGGAUGAACGGCCACAUUGGGACUGAGACACGGCCCAGACUCCUACGGGAGGCAGCAGUGGGGAAUCUUCCGCAAUGGACGAAAGUCUGACGGAGCAACGCCGCGUGAGUGAUGACGGCCUUCGGGUUGUAAAGCUCUGUUAAUCGGGACGAAAGGCCUUCUUGCGAAUAGUGAGAAGGAUUGACGGUACCGGAAUAGAAAGCCACGGCUAACUACGUG
This 509-nucleotide ribosomal RNA is filed under the name uncultured bacterium. Its description in RNAcentral is "partial 16S ribosomal RNA". It matches the Rfam family "Bacterial small subunit ribosomal RNA", at positions 28 to 507 of the family's 1533-position model. The record is from RNAcentral.